ACACAAGCUAGAAUUACCACAAAGGCGCC
Molecule: non-coding RNA, 29 nt
Filed under: Rattus norvegicus (Norway rat)
Lineage: Eukaryota; Metazoa; Chordata; Mammalia; Rodentia; Muridae
Source: RNAcentral